UACGUAGGGUGCGAGCGUUGUCCGGAAUUACUGGGCGUAAAGAGCUUGUAGGUGGUUUGUCGCGUUGUUCGUGAAAUCUCACGGCUUAACUGUGAGCGUGCGGGCGAUACGGGCAGACUAGAGUACUGCAGGGGAGACUGGAAUUCCUGGUGUAGCGGUGGAAUGCGCAGAGAUCAGGAAGAACACCCAUGGCGAAGGCAGCUCUCUGGGCCUGUACUGACGCUGAGACGCGAAAGCGUGGGGAGCGAACGGG
RNAcentral lists this ribosomal RNA (253 nucleotides) under uncultured bacterium. RNAcentral's name for it is "partial 16S ribosomal RNA". It matches the Rfam family "Bacterial small subunit ribosomal RNA", at positions 524 to 776 of the family's 1533-position model. The record is from RNAcentral.